Molecule: non-coding RNA, 65 nt
Submitted as: unclassified sequences
Source: Rfam
UAUAUUUGCCGCGCUAAUUAAAAUUAAUUAGCUACAUAAUAAUCAUUUAUAACAAUAUUGGCAUG